CGCGAGUGUGAGCGAAUCUCAAAAAUAACGUCUCAGUUCGGAUUGUAGUCUGCAACUCGACUACAUGAAGCUGGAAUCGCUAGUAAUCGCGGAUCAGAAUGCCGCGGUGAAUACGUUCCCGGGCCUUGUACACACCGCCCGUCACACCAUGAGAGUCGGGAACACCCGAAGUCCGUAGUCUAACCCGCAAGGGAGGGCGCGGCCGAAGGUGGGUCCGGUAAUUGGGGUGAAGUCGUAACAAGGUAGC
This 247-nucleotide ribosomal RNA is filed under the name uncultured bacterium. RNAcentral describes it as "partial 16S ribosomal RNA". It matches the Rfam family "Bacterial small subunit ribosomal RNA", at positions 1256 to 1500 of the family's 1533-position model. The record is from RNAcentral.